This 193-nucleotide ribosomal RNA is filed under the name Escherichia coli. RNAcentral's name for it is "partial 23S ribosomal RNA". The stretch from base 1 to 173 matches the Rfam family "Bacterial large subunit ribosomal RNA", at positions 2758 to 2925 of the family's 2925-position model. The record is from RNAcentral. Lineage: Bacteria; Pseudomonadati; Pseudomonadota; Gammaproteobacteria; Enterobacterales; Enterobacteriaceae.
GAAGAGAGAAAAGCUGAGAGCAUCUAAGCACGAAACUUGCCCCGACAUGAGUUCUCCCUAACCCUUUAAGGGGCAUGAAGGAAAGUUGAAGACGACGAAGUUGAUAGGCCGGGUGUGUAAGCGCAGCGAUGCGUUGAGCUAACCGGGACUAAUGAACCGGGAGGCUUAACCUUACAACGCCGAGGAUGUUUUG